GACGAACGCUGGCGGCGUGCUUAACACAUGCAAGUCGAACGGAAAGGCCCUGCUUUUGUGGGGUGCUCGAGUGGCGAACGGGUGAGUAACACGUGAGUAACCUGCCCUUGACUUUGGGAUAACUUCAGGAAACUGGGGCUAAUACCGGAUAGGAGCUCCUGCUGCAUGGUGGGGGUUGGAAAGUUUCGGCGGUUGGGGAUGGACUCGCGGCUUAUCAGCUUGUUGGUGGGGUAGUGGCUUACCAAGGCUUUGACGGGUAGCCGGCCUGAGAGGGUGACCGGCCACAUUGGGACUGAGAUACGGCCCAGACUCCUACGGGAGGCAGCAGUGGGGAAUAUUGCACAAUGGGCGGAAGCCUGAUGCAGCAACGCCGCGUGCGGGAUGACGGCCUUCGGGUUGUAAACCGCUUUCGCCUGUGACGAAGCGUGAGUGACGGUAAUGGGUAAAGAAGCACCGGCUAACUACGUGCCAGCAGCCGCGGUGAUACGUAGGGUGCGAGCGUUGUCCGGAUUUAUUGGGCGUAAAGGGCUCGUAGGUGGUUGAUCGCGUCGGAAGUGUAAUCUUGGGGCUUAACCCUGAGCGUGCUUUCGAUACGGGUUGACUUGAGGAAGGUAGGGGAGAAUGGAGUUCCUGGUGGAGCGGUGGAAUGCGCAGAUAUCAGGAGGAACACCAGUGGCGAAGGCGGUUCUCUGGGCCUUUCCUGACGCUGAGGAGCGAAAGCGUGGGGAGCGAACAGGCUUAGAUACCCUGGUAGUCCACGCUGUAAACGGUGGGUACUAGGUGUGGGGUCCAUUCCACGGGUUCCGUGCCGUAGCUAACGCUUUAAGUACCCCGCCUGGGGAGUACGGCCGCAAGGCUAAAACUCAAAGGAAUUGACGGGGCCCCGCACAAGCGGCGGAGCAUGCGGACUAAUUCGAUGCAACGCGUAGAACCUUACCUGGGUUUGACAUGGAUCGGGAGCGCUCAGAGAUGGGUGUGCCUCUUUUGGGGUCGGUUCACAGGUGGUGCAUGGCUGUCGUCAGCUCGUGUCGUGAGAUGUUGGGUUAAGUCCCGCAACGAGCGCAACCCUUGUUCACUGUUGCCAGCACGUUAUGGUGGGGACUCAGUGGAGACCGCCGGGGUCAACUCGGAGGAAGGUGGGGAUGACGUCAAGUCAUCAUGCCCCUUAUGUCCAGGGCUUCACGCAUGCUACAAUGGCUGGUACAGAGAGUGGCGAGCCUGUGAGGGUGAGCGAAUCUCGGAAAGCCGGUCUCAGUUCGGAUUGGGGUCUGCAACUCGACCUCAUGAAGUCGGAGUCGCUAGUAAUCGCAGAUCAGCAACGCUGCGGUGAAUACGUUCCCGGG
This 1343-nucleotide ribosomal RNA is filed under the name uncultured bacterium. RNAcentral's name for it is "16S ribosomal RNA". It matches the Rfam family "Bacterial small subunit ribosomal RNA", at positions 28 to 1378 of the family's 1533-position model. The record is from RNAcentral.